RNAcentral lists this unclassified non-coding RNA (378 nucleotides) under plant metagenome. Its description in RNAcentral is "partial contains 5.8S ribosomal RNA, internal transcribed spacer 2, and large subunit ribosomal RNA". The stretch from base 1 to 105 matches the Rfam family "5.8S ribosomal RNA", at positions 50 to 154 of the family's 154-position model. The record is from RNAcentral.
GAAAUGCGAUAAGUAAUGUGAAUUGCAGAAUUCAGUGAAUCAUCGAAUCUUUGAACGCAUAUUGCGCUCCUUGGUAUUCCUUGGAGCAUGCCUGUUUGAGUAUCAUGAAAUCUUCAAAGUAAAUCUUUUGUUAACUCAAUUGGUUUCUACUUUGGUAUUGGAGGUCUUUGCAGCUUCACACCUGCUCCUCUUUGUUCAUUAGCUGGAUCUCAGUGUUAUGCUUGGUUCCACUCGGCGUGAUAAGUUAUCUAUCGCUGAGGACACUGUAAAAGGUGGCCAAGGUAAAUGCAGAUGAACCGCUUCUAAUAGUCCAUUGACUUGGACAAUACUUUUAUGAUCUGAUCUCAAAUCAGGUAGGACUACCCGCUGAACUUAAGC